CUAGAACCUCCAGAGGGCUCUUCCAGGGGCCUCCAGAGUGCUCCUACAAUACCUCUGCUCCAUCUGGGGUAAAGGAAGGUUGGCCAUCCCUAUCCUGGAACUGUCUUGCCCAGGGCCUGCAGGGGUAACCUGUUGGGUCUAGAAAGAGUUCCCCUCAACACCUGCAGAAAGGCUUGCAUUGGUAACACCGGCCCCUGCACCCAUCAUCCAUCACCUUUGCAAGCAGGAAACCAAUUUUCAUUUUGUUUAGGUCCUUUUGAUUUUUGUUUCCCUGCCUGACACCCUCAUCUAGUUUUAAACAUGCAGGACAUCAUCAUAUGAAGCACUCGAGAUAUAAAAAUAGAAAGGGGAAAAGGGGGGCGCUGAGCUGGGCUGGGGUGUCGAGCAAGAGAUGGUAGGAAAGGAAAACAGUCCUUUCUCUCUUAGCAACAGGAGGAAAGGUUCUCAGCUGAGACACGUGAAAAUUCUCUUGCAUCCAUGCAUUCUAAUAGAUUCCAGAGGCCUUCAGAAUCCUUUUCUCCAUCAAUACCACAUAGAAAGGAACAGGAACGUUUUGGUAUUCCCCUUUUGACAGACGAAGGAGGUUGGAGGCCAAGGAAAGAACAGAUGAUAACGGGUGCAUCUUUGACAUGCUGCAUGGCUGUAAGAAAGAAUGUGAGACCUGGCUUUGAGUCCCUGCUCUGUCAUUUAUUGUGUGUUCUUGAGUGCUGAGAUGCCAGAGCCUGAACCUCCGUUUUUCAGUCUGACAGGCGAGAAUAGUAAUCCCAGCCCUGCCUUCUUCACAGAUGCCCUGAGAAUCAAAUGAGAUAAUGCAGAUGAAAGUGUUUUUCAAAGCACAAUG
RNAcentral lists this long non-coding RNA (841 nucleotides) under Felis catus (domestic cat). RNAcentral describes it as "lncRNA (ENSFCAG00000050548.1)". The record is from RNAcentral. Lineage: Eukaryota; Metazoa; Chordata; Mammalia; Carnivora; Felidae.